Magallana angulata is the source of this 1246-nucleotide long non-coding RNA. RefSeq lists it as uncharacterized. The record is from RefSeq and is a predicted model, not a curated record. The transcript has 2 exons. NCBI's taxonomy places the organism in Eukaryota, Metazoa, Mollusca, Bivalvia, Ostreida, Ostreidae.
UUUUAUUGAUAAAAUAAAAUGAGUGGGAAAAGCUUGCGUUGAAAAAUUGUAGACAAGUAUAUUUUGGUAAUGUUUGAUAAUUUCAGUUACCUCCCUUGCCAAAUGAAUAUUUGGAGGCUUAAAAACUUAAGAAAAAAAUAAAAGCAAUAAAUUGUCAACUAUAAAUAAUUCAUAUAAAAUCAGCUUAAUUGUUUAUGAUAGACAUAAUUUUUUUUAACGCUGAAAUAUAUUUUUAAAAAAUAUUCAGUGCGGGUAUAUUUUCAAAACCAAUGUAAACAAAGAUGGCCGCCACUAACGUCUGUGCACAGCAUGCUGCCAGAUUUGAUUGUUUUUCGGUGUUUUGGUGAUGUUGUCUUAAUCUCAAAUACCAUUGGAAGUUAAAUCAGGUCGCCAAUAAUAGUAAGCAUCCCGAACAUUUUAUUGAAACUGAGAUGAAUUACUGUUACCAGACGAAUUUCAACAAGUCAGCCAACAAAUUAUGCAGCUAUGGGUACAUCGAUGUACACAUCCACUCCUCAUAAAAAAAGGCAAGAGGUGUUCACCUGAUGACGACAGAGGAAUGUUAUUUCUUGACAAAUGGGUAGUUCAAGAGGGGUCAGAGAAGUGCAAAUGAAUUAUUCUUCUGGAAAGUACUGUCCUUCUAUAUUUAAACUUGGAUAAAACAUAGAAGAAAAAAAACCUACAAGAUUGCUGAAAGAAAAAAAACCCAUCAAGUUGCUUGGCAUGAUGGAUCUGGAUGACUUUUACAGCAUCUAAUAUCAUGGGUAAAAAUGAUAUUCCUGCAUAUGAAACAGUGAAAGUGUGCCGAAUAAGAAAGAAGAUCAAGAAGGGGGUUCAGGGAUUAUGUGAAGCAGUAAUUUGAAAGGAUAUAUUUAGAUGGCAGAGAAACUAACUAGAUUUGCAAGUCAUUAUAUAAAUUGCCACAUUCAUUUAAAUUAACCAAUGUUUUCCUAAGGAGUGGUUGAAUAUCCAGAAGAUAUCACUUGGAAUUUGUUUUUCUCAAUUUAAUCAUCUGCACACUGCACAUUUUUCUUCAAUGAAUAAAAGAUGCAAACAAGACUAAAAUAAGAUGCUUUGAAGUUUGUCGGAUUGACCACAUAAGAGAGAGAGAGAGAGAGAGAGAGAGAGAGAGAGAGAGAGAGAGAGAGAGAGAGAGAAGUUGAAUGAACUUGUCUUCAUGCAUCAUGCACUGUAUGAACAUGUUAUCAUUUAGCAUUUUAAUGCUCAAUAAAUUGUUAAAUUGUUA